Small nuclear RNA from Mastomys coucha (southern multimammate mouse), 104 nucleotides. The record is from RefSeq and is a predicted model, not a curated record. NCBI's taxonomy places the organism in Eukaryota, Metazoa, Chordata, Mammalia, Rodentia, Muridae.
UUGAUUCAGAAUCGCAUAUAUUAAAAUUGGAACAAAUCCAAGAAAAAUAGCAUGGCCCCUGAGCAACUAUGUCAAAUAAAUUCAGUAAAGCAUUCCAUAUUUAA